GACGAACGCUGGCGGCGUGCUUAACACAUGCAAGUCGAACGGAAAGGCCCUGCUUUUGUGGGGUGCUCGAGUGGCGAACGGGUGAGUAACACGUGAGUAACCUGCCCUUGACUUUGGGAUAACUUCAGGAAACUGGGGCUAAUACCGGAUAGGAGCUCCUGCUGCAUGGUGGGGGUUGGAAAGUUUCGGCGGUUGGGGAUGGACUCGCGGCUUAUCAGCUUGUUGGUGGGGUAGUGGCUUACCAAGGCUUUGACGGGUAGCCGGCCUGAGAGGGUGACCGGGCACAUUGGGACUGAGAUACGGCCCAGACUCCUACGGGAGGCAGCAGUGGGGAAUAUUGCACAAUGGGCGGAAGCCUGAUGCAGCAACGCCGCGUGCGGGAUGACGACCUUCGGGUUGUAAACCGCUUUCGCCUGUGACGAAGCGUGAGUGACGGUAAUGGGUAAAGAAGCACCGGCUAACUACGUG
This 468-nucleotide ribosomal RNA is filed under the name uncultured bacterium. RNAcentral's name for it is "partial 16S ribosomal RNA". It matches the Rfam family "Bacterial small subunit ribosomal RNA", at positions 28 to 507 of the family's 1533-position model. The record is from RNAcentral.